AACAAGACAACACACAACAUUGGGUUCUCAGACAUUCAGUCCAUAAUCAAUGAAACAGUGAUACAUGCACACGAAACUAUGAAAUAAAAACAUCAGACAUCAUACUGCAUUUGAAACUGUAAAAUAGAACAACAACAACUAACCGACAAAUGCACUAGACUCGAGCUCCAUUAGCAAUCUUAAAUAAUUUCACACAGUUAUUGAUUCAUGAAAUCCUGUUUUAUCAUCUAUUGCACUUUAAUACCGUGAUAAGAAAUAGGGUGAGGAAUCCUUACUUGUUUCGGGGUCCGAAUACGGCUCUACAGUGCGCCUACAGGCUGUCCCUAACUUUCCCUG
This 336-nucleotide long non-coding RNA is filed under the name Carica papaya (papaya). Its description in RNAcentral is "long non-coding RNA (CPAP_LNC014386)". The record is from RNAcentral. Lineage: Eukaryota; Viridiplantae; Streptophyta; Magnoliopsida; Brassicales; Caricaceae.